This is a long non-coding RNA of Mus musculus (house mouse), 2836 nucleotides long. RefSeq annotates it as predicted gene, 32569. Lineage: Eukaryota; Metazoa; Chordata; Mammalia; Rodentia; Muridae. The transcript is spliced from 4 exons. The record is from RefSeq and is a predicted model, not a curated record.
GGAAACUGGAGCAGUGGUUAAUCUUCCUGUUUCCAACGUCUGCUGCAGGAGCAGUCCUUUUGGAGGAUGAAGGUGCCAAAUGGGUACUGCUUCAUGCAGUACUCGCAUGCCCUGUUUAUACCCUCAGUCGCCUUCGAAAUAACCUCUUAGAUAACAAAGCUUAUGUGAACAUUGAGUAGAGCUGCAGAAUUCAGAAUUACAGGCCCUGGUUCAAGGAGCUUCAAACACAAGAGCGAUAUCAGUUCCACGCCGCCAAAGGCUGGGAGUUUUCUGGAAGGGAAGGCUUGAGGCUAUUACUCUUCCCGUGACAACAACAUUUGCUCCCGUGUUCUGAGGAAAAUGGCCUUUCUGAAAACGAUUUAUCUCAAGGUCACCACCUUAGAAGCAGAGACAGAAAAUGGACCCCUCUGUCUGCAAUGGUAAAAUGGAAAUAAUAGAUCAUGGGAGGACCUCAUUCUGAGGAAUCCGCAGGCAGGGAGUCUCCUUUCCACCUUGACAUGAAUGUGCUCCGUGGGUCCUCAUAGACCUGGUGAGGACUCAAUGAAGUGACACCUGAAUGAGAGUAGCCAAGCCAGUCACUAACUAGAAAAGGAUCUGCGACUUGUUUUUUUACCAAAACGUUUAUGCACACUUCCCUUCAAGGAGGUACGGAACAAACAACAAACAAAUAAACAAACAAAAAUGGCAUUGCUGUCCAUCUGCUCCCAACAGCUCCUCAGCUAGACUGUCCCUUAUAUGUGAGCUUCACCGAGUCUGGGAUGGUCAGACUGGAAGAACGAAUGACACCAGUCAGAGAUUCUCUGGAGUACAGGGACUAGAAAUGGUGCGAACACAUAGAACAGUCUUCCUCCAAAUACAUGCCUUGAAGAAGCCUGGUUUGCCCAAAGAUAUGGAUACUGAGGACCCAAUUGUUUAUUUUGUCCCAACCACCCUGGAGCAGUAUUUUUGGAAAACGGUAAAUCAUCCCAAAAUGGAAGUGUUAUUCCCAUGUCACAGGGAUGCCCACUUUCUAUAAAUUCCUUAAGACAUCUCUAUUUUGGAAGUCUGGUAAGCAUUCUGCGUACACACACCCAGCUUGCGGGACACACUGAGCCUAGGGAUGGCCUUUGAAGGAGUAGAACCAGAUCCAUCCUUCAUGGGACAUACCCCAUCCUGGUUUUUCACCUUACAAUGUUAUCUACAUUGUACACACCUGCCCGCCAGAGCAUGCAAUAGCAAGUUUAGGAUGUGCCCAGGUUAUGAGCCCUGCUAUUUUAAGGACCAAACUUCUCCCAUGCAGUACAUACACAGAUGUUCCCAUCUCUAGAGCACUCUCUGCUUCUUACCAUUCCAUGCCGGCCCUGUUGAUCUCCUCCCACCAGCACUCAGUGGGCUCCCCCAGGCUUUGGGGUGUAGGCAUGCAGGCAUAGUUCCAUUGUCUGUCAGAGCCUUCCUUCUUGCUAAAGAUGCUCCUCACAGCUACCACCACUUGCCCGUGGGGACACUGGUAGCUGAAGCCUUGGCGGUUAAGAUUCACCCAUCCAUCAUCACCGUAGUCCUGGUACUGCUGGUAUGGGUACCCGUAGCCACCAUACUGGCCCCAGGCUGUGGUCACCAGUGGCAGAAGAACCCACAGAAGAGUGAGGUCCAUACUGCCCGGCUUCUGGCAAAAAAAAUGUCACCCUCAGUUUGCUGGGCUGACUUUAUACAGCUGCCGCUGACAUGUGGUUCCCAGAUGUGGGUGAACUGGAUCCAACUGCAGUGUGUCAUUGCUCAAGCAAAAGCUUUUCCACGCUGAGAAACUGGCCUUGCUUGCGUCCAGCUUGUUUUAAGGUGGAAUUCUAUGAACAUGCAAGGAACAUGUAAAUCAAGGAAAUCUCCCCAGAGAAUCACUUCACGGAGAGGGACCAGAGGCAGCUGCUCCACUCUGCUCAGAAACACCUGAGAAAGACCCCCUCAAUUGCCUACCUAUCCUUCCCUCAUCUCUCGGCAUGCUGCCCCUCUGCCACGCCCCUUCUUACUAGCAAACCAGGUAUCUGGUAGCUGUUCUCCUGCUUAGCUCUCUAGAAUUAUACGGAAAUCCAGGCGGAGAUUUCAAAACACAAACGUUGAUAAGUUAAAGGAACUCAACCUUUAGAUUUCUGCAAACCUAGGUGCCUGGAUUCUUUUUAUGUUCUUAGUCCGUCUUUUAAUUGGGGGUAGAAGCAGAUGAUCUGUCUUCAGGUCUACUGUUAAAAUGUCUAACGUUCAGGUAGAAGUGCUAUUGGUCCAUGGAGAGAGCAGCGGGGCGUUAUCUCUGCUUCAGCAUCUGCCUGAGCUGCUGAAAGUGGUCCCUUCAGCUCUGGCUUAAGUAUGGAACUGGUUAAGCUCAAAUGAAUGGUAAGUUUUUUCAGCUGGCACUUUCAAACUUUACAUUGACUUUUCUGUUUGUUGAGGUGAAGUGUAUAAAAUAAAGGCCAGCUUUUCAACUGUGUAGCAUACAGUCCUGCAGGCAGCUCUGAAAUCAUGCUAUAGAGUAGACUGGAUAGUCCAGAGCACCUCCUCAUAGCCCUCUGCAUCCUCUUUGUUCCCGAUACCUAGUUCUGCUACCCAACAAUCGGAUGUUCGUCUCUACAGUUUUGCCUGUUCCAGAUUGUUAAUAACUGGGGUCACACCACACGGGUCAGUCUCUGUUACCCCUGCUUUUGAGACUCGACUGUGCUGCCAGUCACUGACCUCUUGUAAUUGCUGAGAAGGGUUCCACAGUAUGGGUGUCCUGUUCAAUGGUAUCAUCUGAAGCACGUGUGGAAUAUCUCAUUUGUAAAAAUUUAUAUAUAACUAUGCAUAAGUGCUUACGAAUAAAAUUUCUAUAAGUGCA